This 376-nucleotide ribosomal RNA is filed under the name uncultured organism. RNAcentral describes it as "partial 16S ribosomal RNA". It matches the Rfam family "Bacterial small subunit ribosomal RNA", at positions 527 to 896 of the family's 1533-position model. The record is from RNAcentral.
GUAGGUGGCAAGCGUUGUCCGGAUUUAUUGGGGCGUAAAGCGAGCGCAGGCGGUUUCUUAAGUCUGAUGUGAAAGCCCCCCGGCUCAACCGGGGGGAGGGGUCAUUGGAAACUGGGAGACUUGAGUGCAGAAGAGGAGAGUGGAAUUCCAUGUGUAGCGGUGAAAUGCGUAGAUAUAUGGAGGAACACCAGUGGCGAAGGCGGCUCUCUGGUCUGUAACUGACGCUGAGGCUCGAAAGCGUGGGGAGCGAACAGGAUUAGAUACCCUGGUAGUCCACGCCGUAAACGAUGAGUGCUAAGUGUUGGAGGGUUUCCGCCCUUCAGUGCUGCAGCAAACGCAUUAAGCACUCCGCCUGGGGAGUACGACCGCAAGGUUG